GGGUGAGUAAUGCCUAGGAAUCUGCCUGGUAGUGGGGGAUAACGUUCGGAAAAAAAAAAUAAUACCGCAUACGUCCUACGGGAGAAAGCAGGGGACCUUCGGGCCUUCCGUUAUCAGAUGAGCCUAGGUCGGAUUAGCUAGUUGGUGAGGUAAUGGCUCACCAAGGCUCCGAUCCGUCACUGGUUUGAGAGGAUGAUCAGUCACACUGGAUUUGAGACAGGGUCCAGACUCCUACGGGAGGCAGCAGUGGGGAAUAUUGGCCAAUGGGCGAAAGCCUGAUCCAUCCAAGGCGGGUGUGUGAAGAAGGUCUUCG
Molecule: ribosomal RNA, 313 nt
Filed under: uncultured bacterium
Lineage: Bacteria
Description: partial 16S ribosomal RNA
Rfam family: Bacterial small subunit ribosomal RNA
Source: RNAcentral